This 492-nucleotide ribosomal RNA is filed under the name uncultured bacterium. Its description in RNAcentral is "partial 16S ribosomal RNA". It matches the Rfam family "Bacterial small subunit ribosomal RNA", at positions 29 to 507 of the family's 1533-position model. The record is from RNAcentral.
AGUGAACGCUGGCGGUAGGCCUAACACAUGCAAGUCGAACGGCAGCACAGUAAGAGCUUGCUCUUACGGGUGGCGAGUGGCGGACGGGUGAGGAAUACAUCGGAAUCUACUUUUUCGUGGGGGAUAACGUAGGGAAACUUACGCUAAUACCGCAUACGACCUACGGGUGAAAGCAGGGGAUCUUCGGACCUUGCGCGAUUGAAUGAGCCGAUGUCGGAUUAGCUAGUUGGCGGGGUAAAGGCCCACCAAGGCGACGAUCCGUAGCUGGUCUGAGAGGAUGAUCAGCCACACUGGAAGUGAGACACGGUCCAGACUCCUACGGGAGGCAGCAGUGGGGAAUAUUGGACAAUGGGCGCAAGCUUGAUCCAGCCAUACCGCGUGGGUGAAGAAGGCCUUCGGGUUGUAAAGCCCUUUUGUUGGGAAAGAAAAGCAGCAGGUUAAUACCCCGCUGUUCUGACGGUACCCAAAGAAUAAGCACCGGCUAACUUCGUG